GCGGCUCCAACCAUUGGUCCGCGCUACCUGUCCAUUUCUUGCGAGAGUUCAACACCUCCUGGCUGGAGGAGGCUGCGGCCUCAUUGGGUGCAUGCGGAGGGAUGGGUGGACCCAGAAAGGCUGGAUGUGGAAGAAUAGAAAACCUCUGAAGAGGACACCGGGGUGGUUCAGUCGGCGUCCCACUUGAUCUCACGGUUGCGCCCUCAGAGGAAAAGCCAUAUGAGGACAAAGCGGCCAUCCAUAAGCUAGGAAGAGAGCCCUCGCCAGAACCCAAACUCUAUCGGAACCUUGAUCUUGGACUUU
Molecule: long non-coding RNA, 303 nt
Organism: Panthera uncia (snow leopard)
Lineage: Eukaryota; Metazoa; Chordata; Mammalia; Carnivora; Felidae
Exons: 3
Source: RefSeq, a predicted model, not a curated record